This 495-nucleotide ribosomal RNA is filed under the name uncultured bacterium. RNAcentral describes it as "partial 16S ribosomal RNA". It matches the Rfam family "Bacterial small subunit ribosomal RNA", at positions 28 to 507 of the family's 1533-position model. The record is from RNAcentral.
GACGAACGCUGGCGGCGUGCCUAAUACAUGCAAGUAGAACGCUGAAGGAGGAGCUUGCUUCUCUGGAUGAGUUGCGAACGGGUGAGUAACGCGUAGGUAACCUGCCUGGUAGCGGGGGAUAACUAUUGGAAACGAUAGCUAAUACCGCAUAAUAGUAGAUGUUGCAUGACAUUUGCUUAAAAGGUGCAAUUUCAUCACUACCAGAUGGACCUGCGUUGUAUUAGCUAGUUGGUGGGGUAACGGCUCACCAAGGCGACGAUACAUAGCCGACCUGAGAGGGUGAUCGGCCAAAAUGGGACUGAGAAACGGCCCAGACUCCUACGGGAGGCAGCAGUAGGGAAUCUUCGGCAAUGGACGGAAGUCUGACCGAGCAACGCCGCGUGAGUGAAGAAGGUUUUCGGAUCGUAAAGCUCUGUUGUAAGAGAAGAACGAGUGUGAGAGUGGAAAGUUCACACUGUGACGGUAUCUUACCAGAAAGGGACGGCUAACUACGUG